Chroicocephalus ridibundus (black-headed gull) is the source of this 755-nucleotide long non-coding RNA. RefSeq lists it as uncharacterized. The record is from RefSeq and is a predicted model, not a curated record. The transcript is spliced from 3 exons. Lineage: Eukaryota; Metazoa; Chordata; Aves; Charadriiformes; Laridae.
CUCUCACCCUUUUGAUAAUUUUUUUUUUCCCCACAUGCAUUGAAUUAUGGUGACUUAUUUCAUGUUUGGCAAUGACUUGAGUAUAUUUAUGAAUAAACACUGCCUUUAUAUGCAAUAACAAUUUAACUCUUAGCAUGACCCAUCUCCUCCGAGGAAAUGAGAUGUCUCCUAGGCAGCAGAGCCUGGAUAAAACAAGAGUCUUAUGGUUUUGCCGUUGGGCGUAAGGCGAUAGCCAGAGGGACAAGUACACUGAUAACUCCCUGGGGUGUUUCUACAUUCGUGCUGGCAGGUGUCUCUGGUUUCACAUUCAUCUAUGUCUGCGGAAAGAAACACGAACGCGUACUCAUCAGGAUUAUCUGAACCUGGCAUUGAACCGAGCCUCAGGGCUGGUGAUCACUGCCAACGACAAGGACAGCGGUGGCCGCUCUCCAGCCCGGCUCUGCUGGGGACUUGAUGGAGGGAGGCCGGGCAACAGCACCUCUAGACCAGCAGUUACAGGAGGCCCACACCCACAGGCACUAACUACCGCUGCAGGAGAAAAAACGGACACUUCUAGCUCUUGAGCAAUAGUUUGUUGGGGUAUGUGUGUUUUUAAACUUCUUAAUUUCUUCCCCUUUAGCACAAAUCAGUCACUGACCAGUACAGGCUGCUGUUCCUUUCGACUUUCAUGAGGAGCUAAAUUAAAUUUUCAAAACCUGCGCAAAUAGCAGCAUUUCACUGAAAAACCUCAGGAAAGCUCAUGGAGGAAGGAGGAA